RNAcentral lists this long non-coding RNA (263 nucleotides) under Lathyrus oleraceus (garden pea). RNAcentral's name for it is "Pisum sativum (pea) long non-coding RNA (PSAT_LNC006506)". The record is from RNAcentral. Lineage: Eukaryota; Viridiplantae; Streptophyta; Magnoliopsida; Fabales; Fabaceae.
UCAUUUUUGCCUAAGCCGCCCUUUCGGGUUUUCAACUUAGCGAGCUAUUCAGUUUUUAUUUUUUAGGAGAAGUAUUUCUUGACUGAAUCUGAAUUCACAGGACGAGUGAAAUCCUCCCCAUCCAUAGUUGUAAGUAUCAAAGCACUGCCUGAAAAGGCUCUCUUAACAACAUAAGAACCCUCAUAGUUCGGAGUCCACUUGCCCCUGGAAUCGGGCGCGAAAGACAGAACUUUCUUGAGCACAAGGUCACCUUCUCGGAAAAC